UUACAAAGUGAGGUACUAAAGGACAUAGGUCCCUCUUGGAUUGGUAGGAAUGUAAGAUACUAAUGUAUCAACUGUAUACCAUUUGGUAUCUCGGUACCUAUGAAAAAACAAGAAGGAAAAGAAAGUCAAAUUUCAAAAUACUAGCUGAUCUUUAUAUUUUACAGACUAGCUGAUUAGCUGGACCAAGGAUUACGAUGUGAGGUACAAGUACAUAGGUCCCUCUUGGAUUGGUAGGAAUGUAGGAUACUAACGUAUCGACUGUAUGUCCUUUGGUAUCAGUCAAAUUUCAAAAGAAAGGAAACAAAAAAAAUGAGAAAGGAGUAGAUGGGAUGUCAGGUUGAUGUCUUCUCUCCCUUGCAGCAUUGAUUCUAUAAGCCCUGGCCUCCGCCUCCACUGCCCCAUCUUUCUUCCUCCUCUCCUGACAGAUACUACAGGUCUGCAGUAUCCAGGACUAGUUUCAAAGCAUUCCACCAUAAAUUUCAGAGUAUCACCAUUUAAGGGUUUCCAUGGCUUGAAUUUUAUAAUUGAACUGGGU
RNAcentral lists this long non-coding RNA (535 nucleotides) under Musa acuminata (dwarf banana). Its description in RNAcentral is "long non-coding RNA (MACU_LNC000072)". The record is from RNAcentral. Lineage: Eukaryota; Viridiplantae; Streptophyta; Magnoliopsida; Zingiberales; Musaceae.